GAUGAACGCUGGCGGCGUGCCUAAUACAUGCAAGUCGAGCGAACGGACGAGAAGCUUGCUGUUCUGAUGUUAGCGGCGGACGGGUGAGUAACACGUGGAUAACCUACCUAUAAGACUGGGAUAACUUCGGGAAACCGGAGCUAAUACCGGAUAAUAUUUUGAACCGCAUGGUUCAAAAGUGAAAGACGGUCUUGCUGUCACUUAUAGAUGGAUCCGCGCUGCAUUAGCUAGUUGGUAAGGUAACGGCUUACCAAGGCAACGAUGCAUAGCCGACCUGAGAGGGUGAUCGGCAACAUUGGAACUGAGACACGGUCCAGACUCCUACGGGAGGCAGCAGUAGGGAAUCUUCCGCAAUGGGCGAAAGCCUGACGGAGCAACGCCGCGUGAGUGAUGAAGGUCUUCGGAUCGUAAAACUCUGUUAUUAGGGAAGAACAUAUGUGUAAGUAACUGUGCACAUCUUGACGGUACCUAAUCAGAAAGCCACGGCUAACUACGUG
Molecule: ribosomal RNA, 497 nt
Filed under: uncultured bacterium
Lineage: Bacteria
Description: partial 16S ribosomal RNA
Rfam family: Bacterial small subunit ribosomal RNA
Source: RNAcentral